AAUAAAUUAAGAUGAGGUCACUGUAAUAAUAACUGAUCUUGUGAUCGAGGUGGAUAGCUUCAUAAUCCACUUAGUCUAUCUAAAUACCAAAUGUGAGUUUUUGAUUGGAAGAAGAUAAAUUAAAUAAAUAAUAGAAAAACUCAAGUUAGACACUAUAGUGUAUCUGAACUAUCAUCUGUAUGGUAUUCAUUUAUAAAAAUAAAAUAUACGUUCCAUCG
This 218-nucleotide long non-coding RNA is filed under the name Elaeis guineensis (African oil palm). RNAcentral's name for it is "long non-coding RNA (EGUI_LNC027461)". Lineage: Eukaryota; Viridiplantae; Streptophyta; Magnoliopsida; Arecales; Arecaceae. The record is from RNAcentral.